ACAAAACUCUAAGGAACAGAGGUGACACCACAAUGCUUGGCUUAUCAAAGGAGGAAGCAGAAAACAAACCUUAUAUAGCUUCAAUGGGGAUCUAUAUUUUUAAGAAAGACAUACUCCUAAACCUUCUAAGGUCAGAUGGUGUUUUCCCACUGCAAAUUAUUUUGGUUCUGAAAUAAUUCCUGCUUCAGCAAAAGAAAUCGAUGUAAAGGCUUAUCUUUUCAAUGAUUAUUGGGAAGAUAUUGGAACUAUUAAGUACUUCUUUGAGGCAAACCUUGCUCUUGCUGAACAUGUACGUGUUUAAUGAUUACUGGCUUUCUGCAAACUCUUCGAGUAACUCUUUGUACUGCUUUGCUUUAUGUUUUUUUAUAUUUCUCU
Molecule: long non-coding RNA, 375 nt
Organism: Zea mays
Lineage: Eukaryota; Viridiplantae; Streptophyta; Magnoliopsida; Poales; Poaceae
Exons: 3
Source: RefSeq, a predicted model, not a curated record